AGGGAAUCUUCCACAAUGGACGCAAGUCUGAUGGAGCAACGCCGCGUGAGUGAAGAAGGCUUUCGGGUCGUAAAACUCUGUUGUUGGAGAAGAAUGGUCGGCAGAGUAACUGUUGUCGGCGUGACGGUAUCCAACCAGAAAGCCACGGCUAACUACGUGCCAGCAGCCGCGGUAAUACGUAGGUGGCAAGCGUUAUCCGGAUUUAUUGGGCGUAAAGCGAGCGCAGGCGGUUUUUUAAGUCUGAUGUGAAAGCCCUCGGCUUAACCGAGGAAGCGCAUCGGAAACUGGGAAACUUGAGUGCAGAAGAGGACAGUGGAACUCCAUGUGUAGCGGUGAAAUGCGUAGAUAUAUGGAAGAACACCAGUGGCGAAGGCGGCUGUCUGGUCUGUAACUGACGCUGAGGCUCGAAAGCAUGGGUAGCGAAC
Molecule: ribosomal RNA, 425 nt
Filed under: uncultured bacterium
Lineage: Bacteria
Description: bacterial SSU rRNA
Rfam family: Bacterial small subunit ribosomal RNA
Source: RNAcentral